GGCACACAUGGACCUUGGACUUCUCCUCAGUUUCAUUUUCCACAUUUCCUGCUGAUUUGAUUAACUUUGUAAAUGAUCACCUAACAAAGGAGACUCGGAGCACCAAGUCGGAUUGGAUGUUGGUGAACUCUCUUAAAGACUGCUGAGGGAUAUCAUGACUCCAGAAGGCGCUGUAUAAAAAUAUGGAUGGAUGGAUUGUUGAGAGUCAGCAUGUGGCGCCAAUUCUUAAAUGAACUACAAAUCAGCUCCUCUGAGAAGACACCCAAUGAGAGCAUCUGACCCUGCCCACAGUGCCCUGUGAAUGCCUGCCCCUUCAGCACAAUGCCUAUAAAAGCAGGACCUCCCUGGAAGGAGGCGUCUCAUUUGGAACGGAGUACCCAAGCUGACCUGCUCUUCAGAGAGAAUUCAUACAAAAGGUUUGCAGCCCUACAUUUACUGAAGAGGACUUGUGAUUCCUCACUCGACCACACCAGGAAGCAGACCAGAAUCUCCACCAGCCCGCCCAGGAAGGGUGCACACAGAAAUCUCCAUAAAUCAAAAAGUAAAGGGUAUAAACUCUAAAGAAAAAGCCUUUGACUUAAGCACAAAGCAAUCCCAAGAAAUUGUUAUAAAUAAAAAUAUUUAUUUAACAAGAAACUCAACAAAAAAUGUUGCCAACGGGCUAUCUAAAUACAACAAAUUUUGAAACACAAUCCUUAAAUCACUUGCAAAUUAGUCAAAACAGAGCAAAUAUACAAAGAAGAAAGCAACAUUCACAAAAAUGACCAAACUCCACCAAAGCACAAGCAAAAUGAACCGCCUCGGGACUUCACUUCCCUGUUUGCCUUUAUUGUCUGGGGGCGGUCCCUUAAAGAUGAUUGACAGGUGACCCUGCCUCUUGGGGAUCCACCCACAAAGUACACGCAACAUGAGAGAAUUGAAUAAUCUGCAUAGAGACUAAAUGAUAACCAAAUGGAAUACAAUUAACAGAAAAUAUCUAAUUAGAAAAAUAAUAAAUUAACAGAAACAGAACAAUAGGUUAAAAACAUAUGUGCCACUUAAAACGGCACCCUUGGCAUUCAUCUGUGUCACCUAACAGAUUGAUGGGCUCUGCGUCAUUCAUUCUUACACAUGAAAUACAUAUCCUGGCCAAUUAAAUCCCCUGGGAUUCAAUGUUGUAUAACAUUAAAUGUGAAAACUUUCAUGGGGGUGAAGAUGUUUUAUGGACACAAAACGUUUACAGUGGGCAACUUCAGUGCCAAAAACUGAACUCACGUCUUGGAGAGGUGAGACUGCACUGCUGGCCACUUUGACGUGAAAUGUAUAAAUGCAAAAAUAAUGAAGAUGCUCUUCCUACACAGCCGACCAUCUCGUGUUUGUUUGUUUGUUUGCAAAUCGAGUGCCUCAUUCCCGACAAAUUUCUAGGAAGCUCAGCCAUUUGUCAUACUGUUCCGAGGUCAGCGUUAUUUUUGGCUGACGGGAAGUUAGCGACACAAGGGCAGGCACUCUUUGCUCUAAGCUGCUGACUCGGUUCCUUUAGGACAAUGCUCAGCACAGCCAUCGCGUGACUUGAAGCAAAGCGAUAAGAGCUUCUGCAAAGUUUCCAGAAAUUCAACAGGAAUCUUUUUUUUUUUAUUUUCCUAAUGGCAGGAUUCCCAGCUUUAGUUGAAAGUAAAACAGAACAGGCUGAGAGGCAGGACGUCCUGCUUGCUGGAGAGCAAAGUCCUGGGGUUUAAGGAGGACUAGCAAAGGGUCAUCCAUGAA
Polypterus senegalus (gray bichir) is the source of this 1743-nucleotide long non-coding RNA. RefSeq lists it as uncharacterized. The transcript is spliced from 3 exons. The record is from RefSeq and is a predicted model, not a curated record. Lineage: Eukaryota; Metazoa; Chordata; Cladistia; Polypteriformes; Polypteridae.